RNAcentral lists this ribosomal RNA (419 nucleotides) under uncultured bacterium. Its description in RNAcentral is "bacterial SSU rRNA". It matches the Rfam family "Bacterial small subunit ribosomal RNA", at positions 355 to 792 of the family's 1533-position model. The record is from RNAcentral.
UGGGGAAUUUUGCACAAUGGAGGAAACUCUGAUGCAGCGACGCCGCGUGAGUGAUGAAGAUCUUCGGAUUGUAAAACUCUGUCCUUAGUGAAGAUAAUGACAGUAACUAAGAAGCAAGCCCUGGCUAAAUACGUGCCAGCAGCCGCGGUAAUACGUAUGGGGCAAGCGUUGUCCGGAAUUAUUGGGCGUAAAGGGUACGUAGGCGGUUUAAUAAGUCCUAAUUAAAAGGCUAUGGCUCAACCAUAGUAUGGUUAGGAAACUGUUGAACUUGAGUAGAUGAGGGGAAAGUGGAAUUCCAUGUGUAGCGGUGAAAUGCGUAGAUAUAUGGAGGAACACCAAUGGCGAAGGCAACUUUCUGGAAUCAAACUGACGCUGAGGUACGAAGGCGUGGGGAGCAAACAGGAUUAGAUACCCUGGUA